AGAGUUUGAUCAUGGCUCAGGAUGAACGCUAGCUACAGGCUUAACACAUGCAAGUCGAGGGGCAGCAUUGAGAUAGCUUGCUAUUCAGAUGGCGACCGGCGCACGGGUGAGUAACGCGUAUCCAACCUUCCCUUAGUAGGGAUAGCCCGGUGAAAAUCGGAUUAAUACCCUAGUGUUGUUCGAAGCAGACAUCUAAAUUGAACCAAAGGUUUACCGCUAAGGGAUGGGGAUGCGUCUGAUUAGGUAGUAGGCGGGGUAACGGCCCACCUAGCCGACGAUCAGUAGGGUUCUGAGAGGAAGGUCCCCCACAUUGGAACUGAGACACGGUCCAAACUCCUACGGGAGGCAGCAGUGAGGAAUAUUGGUCAAUGGGCGCGAGCCUGAACCAGCCAAGUAGCGUGCAGGACGACGGCCCUAUGGGUUGUAAACUGCUUUUAUACAGGGAUAAAGUCACCUACGUGUAGGUGUUUGUAGGUACUGUAUGAAUAAGGACCGGCUAAUUCCGUGCCAGCAGCAGC
Molecule: ribosomal RNA, 518 nt
Filed under: uncultured bacterium
Lineage: Bacteria
Description: bacterial SSU rRNA
Rfam family: Bacterial small subunit ribosomal RNA
Source: RNAcentral